This 1286-nucleotide long non-coding RNA is filed under the name Oryctolagus cuniculus (rabbit). RNAcentral describes it as "lncRNA (ENSOCUG00000033087.1)". The record is from RNAcentral. Lineage: Eukaryota; Metazoa; Chordata; Mammalia; Lagomorpha; Leporidae.
UGACAGAGCUGAACAGCAACCAAUGGCCAAUCCCUGCAGGAAUAUAAACAAAUAACAUGUAGUCAUAUGUAUUUUGUGUGUGAGAUAAGCAGAGGGUUUAUCUUCUGGGCAUCUGUUUCAAAGUGUGAGAUGUUUGACUUCCUCCAAAAUCUUUUUCAGCAGACUGGCUUACAUGAGGCCCAGUCAGCAGGUGACUGCUUCCUGCUUCUGCCACACAACCCAAGCCCUGUUCUGGUGGUAUCCGGAAGUGGCCCAAUGGCAGUCAAAUCUGAGGCACUGGGCCAGGAAAUGAAUGAUGAAGGUGAAUGCUACCAAUGAAGCACCUAUCAACCUGUAUGGUAUGAAGGAAAAGCAUUCUGAGGUGAUAAAAAGGUGUUCCAUUGUGUGACACAGAGAUUGGAAAGCUGCAGUACAUACAUAAGAUGAAGCAUUCAAACAGAACUGAGAAGUAAGAUAUUGGUGGUCAAGAUUGUAUAAAGGAAAGUGUGAGUGGUGGCGUAGGGUUCCAGUGAAUUUUGGAAAUUUCAUGUGAGCUCAUGUAAGCAGACACUGGGAAGACAUUCUCUGAAACAGGUAAGAUCCAGGCCAUGGCUCCAGGACACAAAGAAUUAGGAGGUUGUUCCAUACAGUGAAUGUGUUCAACAGUAUUCCUCCUGAUGUAAGGGCAUCCUGAAAUAUGCUUGUACUGUACAGGUGAGUGAGUGAGAGGAUGAAACAUAUGAAAGCUGGGGCCGGCUGCUUCCUUUGAGGCAGUUGUACAAGUGCUUGUGUUAAAAUGAGAGGAUAUGUGACUGAAUUAACUUCAAAAAUAGAUAAACAGGAAAAUGGAGAGUUUUAUCUACUUAUGUAUUGAUAGGCUUGUUUAUUUGAUUAGCUAGAAACAUAUUGGCAUUGAAUUUUAUUUCUGCAGGGCCACCUUGUGCUCCCAUGGAGAUCCCUUCCAUUAUUCUUGAAUGUUUCAGUUCACCCACUCUUGACUUGGAGCUGUCUACUGCUCUUAAGCCCAGGUCUUUCUUCCUUUCAGUCAUGGUCAAUACUGCCCUCAGGCAUUAGAGGGUGCCUGAGGCAAAGGGUGGAUUUCAACAUGCCUGCAAGACUGCAGUGAAUGCACCUAAGGGGGUUGAGGAUGGGUCCAAGGGCUCCUUAUUGUGGAACCUCUCAGGUCAGCUCCUCCAUAAUGACUUCUGAGGUUCAGAGAGACCUACACAUCAGCCAUAAUGAGUGCCCCCACAUUGAUCUUCACACAAAGCCAGGAGCCUCAGCACUGUGAGCACAGGUUUCCCAUG